GAGAGGUGCUGCAUGGCUAUCGUCAGCUCGUGUUGUGAAAUGUUGGGUUAAGUCUCGCAACGAGCGCAACCCCUAUCGUCUGUUGCCAGCAUUAAGUUGGGCACUCUGACGAGACUGCCUGGGUUAACCAGGAGGAAGGUGGGGAUGACGUCAAGUCCUCGUGGCCCUUAUGUCUAGGGCUACACACGUAAUACGAUGGCGCGUACAAAGGGAAGCGAACUCGCAAGGGGGAGCAAAUCUCAAAAAGCGCGCCUCAGUUCGGAUUGAAGUCUGCAACUCGACUUCAUGAAGUUGGAAUCGCUAGUA
RNAcentral lists this ribosomal RNA (306 nucleotides) under uncultured Peredibacter sp. RNAcentral describes it as "bacterial SSU rRNA". It matches the Rfam family "Bacterial small subunit ribosomal RNA", at positions 1033 to 1340 of the family's 1533-position model. The record is from RNAcentral. Lineage: Bacteria; Pseudomonadati; Bdellovibrionota; Bacteriovoracia; Bacteriovoracales; Bacteriovoracaceae.